This 253-nucleotide ribosomal RNA is filed under the name uncultured bacterium. RNAcentral's name for it is "partial 16S ribosomal RNA". It matches the Rfam family "Bacterial small subunit ribosomal RNA", at positions 524 to 776 of the family's 1533-position model. The record is from RNAcentral.
UACGGAGGGUGCAAGCGUUGCUCGGAAUUAUUGGGCGUAAAGCGCACGCAGGUGGCGAGGUAAGUCAGAUGUGAAAAUCCUGAGCUUAACUUGGGAAGUGCAUCUGAUACUGCCACGCUAGAGUACGGAAGAGGGGAGUGGAAUUCCCAGUGUAGAAGUGAAAUUCGUAGAUAUUGGGAGGAACACCGGUGGCGAAAGCGGCUCCCUGGUCCGAUACUGACACUCAUGUGCGAAAGCGUGGGGAGCAAACAGG